GCGGGGGUAGCCAAGCUUGGUCAAAGGCGUCAGAUUCAGAGUCUGAUCUCCUAGCGAGUUCGUAGGUUCAAAUCCUAUCCCCCGCA
RNAcentral lists this transfer RNA (86 nucleotides) under archaeon. RNAcentral describes it as "tRNA-Leu". It matches the Rfam family "tRNA". Rfam says of the family: Transfer RNA (tRNA) molecules are approximately 80 nucleotides in length. Their secondary structure includes four short double-helical elements and three loops (D, anti-codon, and T loops). Further hydrogen bonds mediate the characteristic L-shaped molecular structure. tRNAs have two regions of fundamental functional importance: the anti-codon, which is responsible for specific mRNA codon recognition, and the 3' end, to which the tRNAs corresponding amino acid is attached (by aminoacyl-tRNA synthetases). tRNAs cope with the degeneracy of the genetic code in two manners: having more than one tRNA (with a specific anti-codon) for a particular amino acid; and 'wobble' base-pairing, i.e. permitting non-standard base-pairing at the 3rd anti-codon position. The record is from RNAcentral.